GUGCUUGCUUUGGCAGCACAUAUACUAAAAUUGGAACGAUACAGAAAAGAUUAGCAUGGCCCCUGCGCACAAUGACAUGCAAAUUCAUGAACCGUUCCAUAUUUGU
Small nuclear RNA from Otolemur garnettii (small-eared galago), 106 nucleotides. NCBI's taxonomy places the organism in Eukaryota, Metazoa, Chordata, Mammalia, Primates, Galagidae. The record is from Ensembl.